AGUGAACGCUGGCGGCGUGCUUAACACAUGCAAGUCGAACGAGAACGGAAUAUAGCUUGCUAAAUUUGUCAGCUAAGUGGCGCACGGGUGAGUAAUGUAUAGAUAACCUGCCCUUAAGAAAGGAAUAACAGUUGGAAACGACUGCUAAUGCCCUAUAUGCCUUUAAUACAUAAGUAUGCAAGGGAAACGCUUUAGUGCUUAAGGAUGGGUCUGUAUGGUAUCAGCUUGUUGGUGAGGUAAUGGCUCACCAAGGCUAUGACGCCUAACUGGUUUGAGAGGAUGAUCAGUCACACUGGAACUGGGACACGGUCCAGACUCCUACGGGAGGCAGCAGUGGGGAAUAUUGCACAAUGGACGAAAGUCUGAUGCAGCAACGCCGCGUGGAGGAUGAUACAUUUCGGUGCGUAAACUCCUUUUAUAUAGGAAGAUAAUGACGGUACUGUAAGAAUAAGCACCGGCUAACUACGUGCCAGCCGCCGCGGUAA
Molecule: ribosomal RNA, 485 nt
Filed under: uncultured bacterium
Lineage: Bacteria
Description: partial 16S ribosomal RNA
Rfam family: Bacterial small subunit ribosomal RNA
Source: RNAcentral